Molecule: long non-coding RNA, 2632 nt
Organism: Oncorhynchus tshawytscha (Chinook salmon)
Lineage: Eukaryota; Metazoa; Chordata; Actinopteri; Salmoniformes; Salmonidae
Source: Ensembl
AGCGCUCACCAUUCUGCAGAAUAAGGACCAGAACUUUACAGAGGUAAUCUGUGUCUGUUCUUUUUACUAUUACAGGUAACCUGCUGUUCCUGGCUGUGGUCAGCCAUUUUGGGGUGAAGCUGCACCGGCCCAGGCUGAUUGCUAUGGGCUGUUUCCUAACGGCUGUAGGAUCCUUCCUCACAGGCCUGCCACACUUCUUCAUGGGACGAGAAGGGAUUAAGAGAUGCAGAGAAGAGACCAGAAGAUGAAGCAGUGGUUCCAACCAGUGUCCACCCCUCAAGGGCCCACUUAACUGCCAAGAGCUCCCGGUUGCCUACAUCGUAGUUCCCUUCCGCUGGCGAGAACCGCUUGGAGAGUGUUGGGGAAUAAUCAGAAUUGGUUGGUAACAUAGAGGAAAUUUCCACGACAAGAGAAAGGCGCAUGGGUGCAGUUCCUUGUCCUCAUUCCCAUGUGAAAGGACCGCACCAGAUCCGGUGUCCGAGGCGUCCACCUCUACCACAAAGGCACGAGUAUGAUCAGGAUGAACGAGGAUGGGUCCGAAGGUGAAACGUCCCUUAAGCUCUAUGAAUGCCCUGUCAGCCUCGGGAUUCCUGCAAAAACCUGCUUGAGUGAGGUGGGAUAGGGCCGUAUGUGUUCCGGAAGGGUUUUUGGAGAAGAUCAGGAUGUCGUCGAGGUAAACAAAGGCGAACCGGUUCAACAUAUCCCUAAGAGUGUCAUUGAUCAAUGCUUGAAAGACUGCCAUUGAGUUCGAUAUUCUGAAGGACUAAAUACUCAGUCACCACUAGGGGUGUUAAAGACAGUUUUCCACUCAUCUCCCUCCCUGAUUCUCACCAGAUUUUAAGCGUUGCGGAGGUCCAGUUUGGUGAAGAAUUGGGCUCCUAGGGCCAACUCCAAGGCAGCGGACAUCGGGUAGGGGGGAACGAUUCUUGAUCGUAAUCCUUUUUAGCCCUCUGUAAUCGAUGCAAGGACUGAAGUUUGGGUCAGAGACAGAGAGACAAGGGAUGCAUUUAGACAGGCAGCCCAAUUAUGAUAUUUUUUCCACUAAUAGGUCUUUUGAACAAUCGCAUUAAGAUAUUUUCGCAUCAGCUGUUUUUCAGAGCAUAUCUGAUUGCUCAAAAUACAAAUUACUCAAAAAAAUUACUGAAUUGGGCUGCUUGUCUCAACGAAGCCAUAGAAACCUGGACAUGCUCCAGCUGAAAAGUUCCCUCCUGUCAGUACUGAUGUUGAAUGGCAUUAAAUACACUUUUUUUGUUCUCUCCCAUCCCCUGUAGUUUUGUUGAACAUGAGUGGAAAUGAAACUCCAGCACACUGGUAGCACUAAAGACGUCUGAGUAUAACUUUUCCAGGUGAGUUGAACCUGCCUGUGGGUGCGGUGGGGAUAUUCCUGGGAGGUCUACUGAUGAAGAGGUAUAAGCUUGGCGUUGUGUCUGGAGCCCAGUUGUCUUUCGUCACCCCCUUCAUGGCCUACCUCCUCCUCCUUCCGCUGUCUGGCACUAAGUGUGACAACGUUUAGGUGGCUGGUCUGACCGUGUCCUACAACGGGUCCACUGGUGUACGAUGGCAGCCUGUUGUCAGAGUGUAACAGAGACUGCUCCUGCUUGGCUGGGGAGUGGGACCCUGUGUGUUCAGACAACGGCAUCACCUACACCUCCCCCUGCCUUGCAGGCUGCUCCAGCCUUACAGGUUACUGCAAGAACACGGUACCAACACUAUUAAUGUACUGAGUGUACAACACAUUCACAGGAAUGCUGGCCCAUGUUGACUCCAAUGCUUUCCACAGUUGUGUCAAGUUGGCCGUAUGUCUUUUGAGUGGUGGACCAUUCGUGAUACACACAGGAAACUGUUGAGCGUAAAAAAAACAGCAGAGUUGCAGUUCUUGACACAAACUGGUACCCCUGGCAUGCCCCGUUGAAAGGCACGUAAAUAUUUUGUCUUGCCCAUUCACCCUCUGAAUGGCAUACAUACACAAUCCAUGUCUCAAUUGUCUCAAGGCUUACAAUUUUGUUUUAAACCUUUCUCCUCCUCUUUAUCUACACUGAUUUAAGUGGAUUUCACUAGUGACAUCCAUAAGGGAUUAUAGCUUUAAGCUGGAAUCACCUGGUCAGCAUAUGUCAUGGAAAGAGCAGGUGUUCUUAAUAUUUUAUCCACUCAGUGUAACUCAUUGACACUGAAAUAAGUUAUUUUCAACCAUUAACUGGGGCCUUGUUGAUGCCUUAUUUAGGGAAGUAAUUGCUGAUUGACAAUAAAGCAUUAUUUUGAUGUAUGGGAAAAAAUAUGGUAUCCGAUUCCUAUGUAGAGAAGGUUCUCUCUGGUUGUUCAAUAUGACUUCAACUUUUACAGGGCACUUUUUAAAAAUAUUUUUUUAUUUUGUUUAUUUUUUAUUAACAAAUAUCAUCAAACAAAAGAGGAAUAGUCACAUGCAACCAAGCAUACAAACAAUAUAUUUACAUUGCCAGGAAUCCUAAACAAACAAAUCAUAUUCGUUAAUAAUACAACAAGUUUUAAUUGCCUUUUUGUUUUUCGUUUUAGUUAAAGUGGUGCCAUAUUGUUUAAACUCAUUUAUAAAGUGAAAACAGUUAGGUUUUGAAUAUGAAACUUACCUAUUGUUAUUAGCAGGUGAAUUAAAUAUACU